CUGGCGGCGUGCCUAACACAUGCAAGUCGAACGGGGAUUUGUUUCGGCAGAAUCCUAGUGGCGAACGGGUGAGUAAACGCGUAGGCAACCUGCCCUCCGCCGGGGGACAACGACUCCGAAAGGGGUGCUAAAUACCGGAUACGAAGUCUGUGCCGCAUGGUACGGAUUUGAAAGAUGGGCCUCAUUUAUAAGCUAUCGCCGGGGGAUGGGCCUGCGUCCGAUUAGCUGGUUGGUGGGGUAACGGCCUACCAAGGCGACGAUCGGUAGCCGGUCUGAGAGGAUGAACGGCCACAUUGGGACUGAGACACGGCCCAGACUCCUACGGGAGGCAGCAGUGGGGAAUCUUCCGCAAUGGGCGCAAGCCUGACGGAGCAACGCCGCGUGAGUGAGGAAGUUCUUCGGAACGUAAAGCUCUGUUGUUCCUGACGAACCUCCCCUCUAUCAACAACGGAGGGGACUGACGGUAGGGAACGAGGAAGCCACGGCUAGCUACGUGCCAGCCGCCGC
Molecule: ribosomal RNA, 507 nt
Filed under: uncultured bacterium
Lineage: Bacteria
Description: bacterial SSU rRNA
Rfam family: Bacterial small subunit ribosomal RNA
Source: RNAcentral